CCCACUUUCCUAGCCAUAAUGGUUCCCUGUAACCAAAGGAACACAGCCCUGCGCCCUGUUGAAAGCUUCAGCAGUCUGUUAUCAGACAAGUACUGAGAAGUCCAGUUUUAAAGACUAAGGAGUGACGUUCGGAAACACCACCAAUAAAGAGAUAGAGCAGAAUUUUAUCAGGACUACGGUGUCAAGGGCGUUUGUCAAAGGUUUACAGCAUUUCCUGUUCUUCCUGUGCUACCUCUUCUUUCCAGGUCAUCUUGCAAAGAAGCUAGGGGAGCACCAUGCAAAAAAAGAAAUCGUCUCUUCUUUCUGAGUUCUACUGACCCAGAUAAUAUCAGCAAAGAGGAGGCAGGGAAGCACAGGAGGAAAAUGGCAUGUAAAUGGAAUCUGAAAGAAAAGGUGAUACUCAGCCAGAGAGGCGUGAAUGGCGAGAAGCAUCCCUUACUUCUGCAUACAUGGGCAGUUCUGAGCUUUUGAAGUGUCAUUAAAACUACAGGAGCUGGGACACCCUUAUCGGGUACUCUGCAUUCUCGUCAAGUCUUGUUGUUGUGGCUACUGUCGUAAGAGGUGACACUGGGAAGAGAAAGGGAGGAAAAGAGAGACAGGGCCAUACAGCAGCCCUCUGAGCACUGCGUCAAGGUGAAGAUGGCCAUAGCACCCAGCUAAGGGAGAAACACAGAAUGGUGGCACCUUACAUCUCAGACGAAGAAACCUGGACUCCCAGGUGUGGUGCCUGCUGAGAAACCCAGAGCUUGGGAGAUGGAGGCAAUCCGUGGUACUCCUCAGCUAGAUGGCCGCGCAAAUAGGAUCAAACUCAUCGUGCAACCAAAGGUGGCCAUGAGCGGUUGGUCUUCUACUUCUCUGUCUCCCCAGUGCUGGGAGGUCAGCACCCCUGCUUGAUCAGAGCUAGAGGUGGAACCUUGUGCCUCUUGAGCAAGCACUCUACCUACAUACCUAGCUACAGUCCCACCUGAGGUCAGAGUAUGCAAAGCAGAGUUUGCUUGGGAAUUACAGAAAUCCAGAGAGCAACAGGAAGCUCUGUGCUCUGCAAACUCAGCUCCUUGUUAGAGGAACAAGUGUGAGUCCCUCCUGGCUCUCACUCUCAGCUCCCAGUUCUUUCCACACGGGAAAGCUGCCUCCAUAGCUUCAGCCCACAGUCAUUCCAUGGGAAGAAUUCACAUUCACGGUUUUAAAAUUCUGUUCUCUCUUUUUAAGAAUCCUUUAAAGAAUGCAUCAUUUUUAUUAUGUCUCAAUGGGUUUCAAAUAAUAAAACCGUUUUUAAAAGGCUUCCAAACUAGAGAACAAUUUACAAUGGCUUUGUUUUCAAUUUGUCAAAAAACAGUUUAGUAUUUUUGUAUAUUCCCUUCUACUGUUCAUAUUCAUAUAAUAUUCUAUAGCAAUUAGUCAUAAUUUAUAUAAAAGUACUACCUUUUAUUAUACUUGCCACAAUACCACAGUCAUUUUUAUACAUAUAAAAUAUAUUUUUAAUGUUGAUUUUUGCAACCUUUAUUCUCUUUUUAGCUGAUUUUCAAAGUGCCAUGAUUAUAUUAUCAUGCCUAUUUGGGGUUAUCAGAUUAUUUCCAUCUAAAAUUAUUUUUAAGUUCACUUUUAUAAUUACAUAAAUAAAUAUACAAACUGCAGAAAAUUUAAAAUAAAAAGAAAUAAAAAUCUACACAUAAAAUUUGAUAUACAAACAUUCAGUUUUGAUUUUUUUCAUUCAUUUACUUUGGUUUUAUGGUAUCCUGGGUUUGGAUGUGGUUUGUUUGCCAGAGUUCACAUGCCAGGGGCGUUGUCUCCAGUGUGGAGGUCUGAAAGAUGGCAGAGUCUUAGGAGGUGGGUCUGAUCACCAUAUCUGCAGACUCUUAACUGGCAAUGUGCAGAGAACAGCGACUGUGGAUGCUCAGACCUCUACAGCACUCUCCAACAUUCGGGAGCAUCACAAAAGAGAGGCAGAAAGAAUGUCAGAGCUGGAAGGCAGGGUGUAGCAUUGUGAGAUACUCUUCAGGGCAUGCUCUUUACCAAGACAAGAUUGGGCCCAUCGACUCCUGUUAGGGAUGGAGAGGGAGCUCACAUGGAUGCCCCCUCCUUUAUAGAUUUAUAGACAGAUAGCUAAGGAGGUAACUAAGAGCUAGUGAGGUGUGAGUGCUCCCUGCAGGUCUAGAGACAGGCAAGGGCUGGGGAAAGGAGAGCAUGUCCUUUGGUGGAAUAGCCACUGGUAGGGUGCCCAGACCCCGUAAGUAACCCCGAUGAAAAACCAAAGCCGUGAAAGCAAUGGAGAACU
Long non-coding RNA from Alexandromys fortis (reed vole), 2275 nucleotides. RefSeq lists it as uncharacterized. The record is from RefSeq and is a predicted model, not a curated record. NCBI's taxonomy places the organism in Eukaryota, Metazoa, Chordata, Mammalia, Rodentia, Cricetidae. The transcript is spliced from 4 exons.